CGAUUUGGACGCUGGCGGCAGGCCUAACACAUGCAAGUCGAGCGGCAGCACGGGGAGCUUGCUCCCUGGGGGCGAGCGGCGGACGGGUGAGUAAUGCAUAGGAAUCUGCCCGAUAGUGGGGGAUAACCUGGGGAAACCCAGGCUAAUACCGCAUACGUCCUACGGGAGAAAGGGGGGGCUCUUCGGACCUCGCGCUAUCGGAUGAGCCUAUGUCGGAUUAGCUGGUUGGUGAGGUAACGGCUCACCAAGGCGACGAUCCGUAGCUGGUCUGAGAGGAUGAUCAGCCACAUCGGGACUGAGACACGGCCCGAACUCCUACGGGAGGCAGCAGUGGGGAAUAUUGGACAAUGGGGGCAACCCUGAUCCAGCCAUGCCGCGUGUGUGAAGAAGGCCUUCGGGUUGUAAAGCACUUUCAGUGGGGAAGAAAGCCUUCCGGCCAAUACCCGGGAGGAAGGACAUCACCCACAGAAGAAGCACCGGCUAACUCCGUGCCAGCAGCCGCGGUAAUACGGAGGGUGCGAGCGUUAAUCGGAAUUACUGGGCGUAAAGCGCGCGUAGGUGGCUUGAUAAGCCGGUUGUGAAAGCCCCGGGCUCAACCUGGGAACGGCAUCCGGAACUGUCAGGCUAGAGUGCAGGAGAGGAAGGUAGAAUUCCCGGUGUAGCGGUGAAAUGCGUAGAGAUCGGGAGGAAUACCAGUGGCGAAGGCGGCCUUCUGGACUGACACUGACACUGAGGUGCGAAAUCGGGGGUAGCAAACAGGAUUACAUACCCGGGUAGUCCACGCCGUAAAACGAGCUCGACUACCCGUUUGGGUCCCUUCGCGGACUUUGUUGU
This 834-nucleotide ribosomal RNA is filed under the name Halomonas sp. Its description in RNAcentral is "bacterial SSU rRNA". It matches the Rfam family "Bacterial small subunit ribosomal RNA", at positions 26 to 846 of the family's 1533-position model. The record is from RNAcentral. Lineage: Bacteria; Pseudomonadati; Pseudomonadota; Gammaproteobacteria; Oceanospirillales; Halomonadaceae.